CCUACGGGGGGCAGCAGUGGGGAAUAUUGGACAAUGGGCGAAAGCCUGAUCCAGCCAUGCCGCGUGUGUGAAGAAGGCCUUCGGGUUGUAAAGCACUUUCAGUGGGGAAGAAAGCCUUGGGGCUAAUACCCUCGAGGAAGGACAUCACCAACAGAAGAAGCACCGGCUAACUCCGUGCCAGCAGCCGCGGUAAUACGGAGGGUGCGAGCGUUAAUCGGAAUUACUGGGCGUAAAGCGCGCGUAGGCGGUCUGAUAAGCCGGUUGUGAAAGCCCCGGGCUCAACCUGGGAACGGCAUCCGGAACUGUCAGGCUAGAGUGCAGGAGAGGAAGGUAGAAUUCCCGGUGUAGCGGUGAAAUGCGUAGAGAUCGGGAGGAAUACCAGUGGCGAAGGCGGCCUUCUGGACUGACACUGACGCUGAGGUGCGAAAGCGUGGGUAGCAAACAGGAUUAGAUACCCCAGUAGUC
RNAcentral lists this ribosomal RNA (465 nucleotides) under Vreelandella stevensii. Its description in RNAcentral is "partial 16S ribosomal RNA". It matches the Rfam family "Bacterial small subunit ribosomal RNA", at positions 338 to 795 of the family's 1533-position model. The record is from RNAcentral. Lineage: Bacteria; Pseudomonadati; Pseudomonadota; Gammaproteobacteria; Oceanospirillales; Halomonadaceae.